UGGGCAACCUGCCCCUCUCUCUGGGAUAACCCCCGGGGAAACCGGAGCUAAUACCGGAUACUCCGGCUGGAUCGCAUGGUCCGGCCGGGAAAGGUCCGCCGGAGAGGGAUGGGCCCGCGGCCUAUCAGCUUGUUGGUGGGGUCAUGGCUCACCAAGGCGACGACGGGUAGCUGGUCUGAGAGGACGACCAGCCACACUGGAACUGAGAUACGGCCCAGACUCCGUACGGGAGCA
This 234-nucleotide ribosomal RNA is filed under the name uncultured bacterium. RNAcentral describes it as "partial 16S ribosomal RNA". It matches the Rfam family "Bacterial small subunit ribosomal RNA", at positions 118 to 347 of the family's 1533-position model. The record is from RNAcentral.